GGUGGAGCAGUACGGUAGCUCGUCGGGCUCAUAACCCGAAGGUCGCAGGUUCAAAUCCUGUCC
RNAcentral lists this transfer RNA (63 nucleotides) under Bacillus thuringiensis serovar sumiyoshiensis. RNAcentral's name for it is "tRNA-Met". It matches the Rfam family "tRNA", at positions 6 to 65 of the family's 71-position model. From Rfam's summary of the family: Transfer RNA (tRNA) molecules are approximately 80 nucleotides in length. Their secondary structure includes four short double-helical elements and three loops (D, anti-codon, and T loops). Lineage: Bacteria; Bacillati; Bacillota; Bacilli; Caryophanales; Bacillaceae. The record is from RNAcentral.